This is an unclassified non-coding RNA of Ictidomys tridecemlineatus (thirteen-lined ground squirrel), 260 nucleotides long. Its record names the gene 7SK. It matches the Rfam family "7SK RNA". Rfam says of the family: 7SK was discovered as an abundant small nuclear RNA in the mid-70s but a possible function has only recently been suggested. Two independent studies have found that 7SK RNA binds the CDK9/cyclin T complex (known as elongation factor P-TEFb). NCBI's taxonomy places the organism in Eukaryota, Metazoa, Chordata, Mammalia, Rodentia, Sciuridae. The record is from Ensembl.
UGAUGUGAGGGCCAUGUGGCUGUGACACCAGUCAACCCUUUGAUAGCAAGGGUUGAUCCAGCUCAUCUGGCUGGCUACACUGGUGUCCCCUUCCUCCUUCUGAAGUUCAUGAUCUUGCCUGUGAGAGGAGGACCAUUCUUGGGUCAAGGUAUACGAGUAGCUGCUACAUGGCUAGAACCUCCAAGCAAGACCUCUAGAAAGCACCAGCCCUUAGGCUUCCUUUUUCUUCCAAAGGACCAGAUCCAAGUCACCCAAACUUU